GCUUGAUCUCUUCGACUGGAUUUUCCUCGUUUUGAAGGAGGAGAUCCCAACGAAUGGAUCCUAAAGGCACAUCAAUUCUUUAAAUAUUUCGACACUCCAGAAGCUCACAAGCUGGGAAUUGCUUCCUUUCACAUGGAGGGGAAGGCGCUGACAUGGUACUCUUGAUGGAAAGAGUCAAAUCCGGUGGUCACUUGGGAUGGAUUCUUGUUGGCUCACCGCACCAGAUUUGGACCUUCAGCAUAUGAAGAUCCAGUUUGGGCAUUUACCAAGCCGAGGCAGACAGGGAGCGUUGAGGAAUACCAAACUGCCUUCGAACUCCUGUCCAACAAAGUAAGUGGGGUAAGUGAAGAUUUUCGCAUAAGUACUUUCCUAAGUGGCUUAAAAGAUGAAUUACGAAUUAUUGUCACCAUGUUCAAACCAAAUACCCUCUCGGUUGCCUUUGGUUUAGCACGAUUACAAGAAGAGGAGGUUUUCCUGAAGCAAUUUCACCACCAAAAUCACCCAGCCCAAAACAGUUCCCACGCAGCCUCAUUCAAGCUUUCCCAUCUCAGAUUACCAGCACAAAAUCCCACACCCAGAUUACUAGCCCCUAACCCAGUACCAAGACUUCCAGCCCCACCAACCCUAAGACUUAACCCACCAUUCCACAAAAAAACCCCUUACCCAAUUAAACGCACAAGUCCCAAUCAAAUGCAAGAAAGAAGAGAGAAGGGCCUAUGCUAUUUCUGUGAUGAAAAAUACCAUCAAGGACACAAUGUAGCAGACCCAAGCUGUACCUAUUAGAGGGACUAGAAUUUGAAGAGGAAGAAGAGAAAUUGGAGGCAGAAGAGACCCUUAACCAGCCAAAUACAGCAAUUAUACUUGCGGGGCAACAAGUUGAAUUAUUGGGCAUAUCAUUACAUGCUAUUGCAGGAGUACCUUCGCCCAAGACUAUGAGGUUAGUUGGCAAAAUUGGCACUUGUUCAGUUAUUGUUCUUGUUGAUACUGGAAGCACGCAUAGCUUUAUUGAUGUAAAUGUAGCGAGGAGGGCAAACCUACCAGUGGAAGAAGGCCACCUGGCAGUCCAAGUUGCUAAUGGAAAAUAAGACCAAUGUUAUUGGGUGAAGUGCAAUCAUCUGGGAAAAGAUUCCUUGCCUUGGUUGCUGUAAGGCAUUUCUCUUAAAGAUGCAAAGUUGUAAUAUUCUAGCCGAUCUAUUUUUAUUAACCCUAGGGGGUGUGAUGUUGUACUAGGGGUAGAUUGGUUGAGAAGUUUGGGGACUAUUCAGUGGAACUUUGCUAAUUUAAGUACGAGUUUCUUUGUGGAAGGGAAACACAUAUUUCUACAGGGUCUAAAGCUGCCCGAGAAGGCUAUAGAGGAGGAACACAGCUUAAGCAAGGCUGCUAUAACAGAAGGAAGAGGACUAUGGCUGCAGAUAAUGGAGAUCAGUGACCAACCAGGAAAGGCACCAAUAGAGCCAGCCAUACAAACUGUUUUGAAUGAUUUCAACAGAGUGUUUGCUGAACCCAGUGGACUCCCACCUCCCAGGAAUCACAAUCACCGAAUCCAGCUCCAGGAUGCAGCCAAGCCAACAUGUGUUAAGACCUUAGCGAUACCCUUAUUACCAAAAGGAAGAAAUUGAAAGAUUCGUCAAGGAGAUGCUGCAGGCAGGGAUCAUACAACCAAGCCAAAGUCCUUAUUCUUCACUAGUCCUAUUGAUAAGGAAAGCAGACGGAAGUUGGCGCAUGUGCAUUGAUUACCGGGCUCUAAACAAGGAUACUAUCAAAGAUAAGUUUCCCAUCCGUAACAUAGAUGAAUUAUUGGAUGAGCUUAAUGGUACUGAAUUGUUUUCUAAACUUGAUCUACGAUCAGGCUACCACCAAAUCAGGAUGAAGCCAAAAGAUAUGCCCAAAACUGCUUUUUAUACACGAGGGGCAUUAUGAGUUCUUAGUGAUGCCUUUUGGGCUCACUAAUGCUCCGUCAACCUUCCAAGGGCUGAUGAAUCAGAUAUUCAGGCCAUAUCUAAGGAAGUUUGUAUUGGUUUUUUUUUUACGAUAUACUUGUGUACAGUAAAUCUAUGGAGGAGCAUGUAGGGCAUCUCAAGGCUGUCCUAGAAGUUUUGAGACAACAUCAGCUGUAUGCAAAGGCUUCCAAAUGUGUCUUUGGAUGCCAAGAAGUGGAGUACUUAGGUCAUGUUAUUUCCAAGGAAGGGAUAAGGCAAAUCCAUUGAAGAUUACAGUUAUAAUAGAAUGGCCUGAACCUAAAAAUCCUAAAGCUCUAAGGGGAUUUUUGGGUCUAACAGGUUAUUACAGGAAGUUUGUGAGAGGAUAUGGAAGUAUUGCAGCCCCCUUGACUGCCCUACUCAAGAAGAAUUCUUUUCAGUGGAGUGAAGAGGCCAGUCAAGCUUUUGUGAUAGCCAUGGUGACUCCUCUUUGUCCUUGGAUUACCAGACUUCUCAAAGAUGUUCGUGGUGGAGUGUGAUGCCUUUGGAAAUGGGUUGGGAGCUGUUCUCAUGCAAGAAAGGUGGCCUAUAGCUUACCUAAGUCAAGCAUUGAAAGGUAAAAAUUUAUUUUUAUCCACUUAUGAAAAAGAGUUACUAGCCCUGGUACUAGCCAUUAGAAAAUGGAGGCGCUAUCUAUUGGGGAACAGGUUCAAAGUCAGGACUGAUCAGCAAGCCCUAAAGCAUCUUUUGGAGCAAAAGAUUGGAAUACCAUUUCAGCAAAAGUGGAUUUCAAAACUGUUAGGUUUUGAUUUCAAUAUGAAAUAUCGUAGUGGAAAAGGAAACAAGGCAGCAGAUGCUCUCUCCAGGUUGCCCAAUGGACCAGAACCAGAAGUGAACCAUGCUGACUAUGAAGAAACCAAAGCCAUCAGUAUGGUGACAUUCAACUGGUGGGAUGGGCUCCGACAAGUGUACCAACAAGAUCCUCAGUUAAGGCAGUUGCCGGAUCACCAUCAACAAGGAAAUCUUGACCCUCUCAAGUACCAACUCAGAGGAGGGUUCUUAUUUUUCCGAGGGAGGUUGCACUUGGGAACCUUAGAGGAACAACAGGAGCAGAUCAUGCAGCAAUUCUACAGCAGCCCCAUGGUGGGGGGGGGGGGGGGGGCANNNNNNNNNNNNNNNNNNNNNNNNNNNNNNNNNNNNNNNNNNNNNNNNNNNNNNNNNNNNNNNNNNNNNNNNNNNNNNNNNNNNNNNNNNNNNNNNNNNNNNNNNNNNNNNNNNNNNNNNNNNNNNNNNNNNNNNNNNNNNNNNNNNNNNNNNNNNNNNNNNNNNNNNNNNNNNNNNNNNNNNNNNNNNNNNNNNNNNNNNNNNNNNNNNNNNNNNNNNNNNNNNGGGGGGGGGACACACCGGAUCACUAAAGACCCACUCCAGGAUCAAAAGGGAUUUUUUUUGGCAAGGUAUGAGGAAGGAUAUCAGGAAAUACAUAAGAGAAUGCGAGGUAUGCCAGAGGAACAAAACAGAGAACCUUAAACCAACAGGGACCCUAUAGCCUCUACCAAUUCCAAACAAAGCAUGGGUGGAUAUAAGUAUGGAUUUUAUAGAAGGGUUGCCUCUAUCUAAAGGAUACAGUGUUAUCAUGGUAAUAGUGGACAGAUUCAGCAAAUACAGUCAUUUCAUACCACUGGCGCAUCCAUACACAGCAGCAACAGUUGCAAAGGCAUUCAUGGAAAAUAUAUUUAAGUUACCACAAAAGCAUAGUCAGUGAUAGAGAUGCGAUACUCACAAGCCACUUUUGGAAAGAAAUUUUCAAAUUAAGUGGGACUAAGCUAUUAAUGAGCUCUGCAUACCAUCCUCAAACCGACGGUCAGACGGAAGUGAUGAAUAAGUGGUUAGAAGGGUACCUCAGAUGUUUCACAAGUGAUAGACCAAAAGAUUGGGCUAAUUGGAUAGCCCUGGCUGAAUGGACAUCUAAUACCUCACAGCAUUCCUCUACGGGGUUUACCCCAUUUGAGGUAGUGUAUGGGCACGAUCCCUCCUCCCCUUUGAGCCUGGAACCACAACAGUAUAAGCGGUGGAAGAAGAAAUGAGAAGACGAGAUUUCAUCCUUACCCUGGCACGCGAAAACCUGCAAGAGGCUCAAACACGAAUAAAGUAUUACGCUGAUAAAAGGAGGAUAGAAAGGGAAUACAGUGUAGGGGAUUGGGUUUAUCUGAGGCUAAAACCCUACAGACAGAUGACUGCUGCAGUGAGGAGAAGCUUGAAGCUUUCACCCAGGUAUUUCGGACCCUUCUAGAUCAUUCAAAAAAUUGGGAAAGCAGCUUACAAGUUAGAUCUAGUUAAAUGAUCUUAUUAAUUACUAGCCCAUAGCUUGAGGACUUAAGUGAAGAGUUAAUUUAAAAGUUAAAUAAAAUUAUAUGUAAAUAUGUCAAUUAGUCAUAAUUAAAGAUGAUUUAUUUAACCACAUGCACCAUUCACCACAUUUUAAGCAAAGUAAUUGCUUGACCACAUAAAUAAAAGUAAUUGAUUUGAUCAUGUGCAUUAUUUACACCAAAAUUCAAGCCAAGUCAAUUGAUUUGAUCACGUGAUUAAAUUUAUUGAUUUGAUGAUUUUCAAGACAAUGCAUCAAUUAUGUUUUGACCAUACCCUAACAUGUGGCCAUUUUCUCUCAACUUUCUAUAUAUGGUCCAAAAACUUGCACUAUAAAUAGGAGUUAAACUCAACAUUAGACUUAUGCUCACCAACUAUUCACACACUCUCUC
Molecule: long non-coding RNA, 4675 nt
Filed under: Olea europaea (common olive)
Lineage: Eukaryota; Viridiplantae; Streptophyta; Magnoliopsida; Lamiales; Oleaceae
Description: long non-coding RNA (OEUR_LNC003437)
Source: RNAcentral